UGCCAGCCGCCGCGGUAAUACGGAGUGUGCAAGCGUUACUCGGAAUCACUGGGCAUAAAGCGCGCGUAGGCGGGACAUCAAGUCGGUGGUGAAAGCCCCCAGCUCAACUGGGGAAUUGCCGCCGAAACUGUUGUUCUUGAGAACGAGAGGGGUGAGUGGAACUUCUGGUGGAGCGGUGAAAUGCGUAGAUAUCAGAAGGAACACCGGUGGCGAAAGCGACUUCCUGGACCGUAACUGACGCUGAGGCGCGAAAGCGUGGGGAGCAAACAGGAUUAGAUA
This 279-nucleotide ribosomal RNA is filed under the name uncultured bacterium. RNAcentral describes it as "partial 16S ribosomal RNA". It matches the Rfam family "Bacterial small subunit ribosomal RNA", at positions 506 to 784 of the family's 1533-position model. The record is from RNAcentral.